Molecule: ribosomal RNA, 497 nt
Filed under: uncultured bacterium
Lineage: Bacteria
Description: partial 16S ribosomal RNA
Rfam family: Bacterial small subunit ribosomal RNA
Source: RNAcentral
GAUGAACGCUGGCUGCGUGCCUAAUACAUGCAAGUCGAGCGAACAGAUGAGGAGCUUGCUCCUCUGACGUUAGCGGCGGACGGGUGAGUAACACGUGGAUAACCUACCUAUAAGACUGGGAUAACUUCGGGAAACCGGAGCUAAUACCGGAUAAUAUAUUGAACCGCAUGGUUCAAUAGUGAAAGACGGUUUUGCUGUCACUUAUAGAUGGAUCCGCGCCGCAUUAGCUAGUUGGUAAGGUAACGGCUUACCAAGGCAACGAUGCGUAGCCGACCUGAGAGGGUGAUCGGCCACACUGGAACUGAGACACGGUCCAGACUCCUACGGGAGGCAGCAGUAGGGAAUCUUCCGCAAUGGGCGAAAGCCUGACGGAGCAACGCCGCGUGAGUGAUGAAGGUCUUCGGAUCGUAAAACUCUGUUAUUAGGGAAGAACAAAUGUGUAAGUAACUAUGCACGUCUUGACGGUACCUAAUCAGAAAGCCACGGCUAACUACGUG